This 378-nucleotide ribosomal RNA is filed under the name Granulicatella sp. oral taxon E26. RNAcentral's name for it is "bacterial SSU rRNA". It matches the Rfam family "Bacterial small subunit ribosomal RNA", at positions 28 to 392 of the family's 1533-position model. Lineage: Bacteria; Bacillati; Bacillota; Bacilli; Lactobacillales; Carnobacteriaceae. The record is from RNAcentral.
GACGAACGCGGGCGGCGUGCCUAAUACUUGCAAGUCGAACGAGAGCGACCGGUGCUUGCACUGGUCAAUCUAGUGGCGAAGGGGUGAGUAACACGUGGGUAACCUCCCCAUCAGAGGGGGAUAACAUUUGGAAACGGAUGCUAAAACCGCAUAGGUUCGUGAGUCGCAUGACUGAAGAAGGAAAAGAGGCUUCGGCUUCUGCUGAUGGAGGGACCCGCGGUGCAUUAGCUAGUUGGUGAGGUAACGGCUCACCAAGGCCGUGAUGCAUAGCCGACCUGAGAGGGUGAUCGGCCACAUUGGGACUGAGACACGGCCCAAACUCCUACGGGAGGCAGCAGUAGGGAAUCUUCCGCAAUGGACGCAAGCUUUGACCGGAGC